Long non-coding RNA from Perca flavescens (yellow perch), 868 nucleotides. RefSeq lists it as uncharacterized. NCBI's taxonomy places the organism in Eukaryota, Metazoa, Chordata, Actinopteri, Perciformes, Percidae. The transcript has 3 exons. The record is from RefSeq and is a predicted model, not a curated record.
UCUGCUGCUGUUAGUUUGUCGUCAUACUUUUGUCAAGAAGUCUGUCCCUGUACCAGCUGUUCCUGUGUUCCAGGUCUCUUCCCUGUGAUUGGACAGUCAUCAGCUUACAUAUCCUCCAUCCAUCUCCCUCCCUCCCUCUGUCUGUUGGAGGAUAUUAGAGUUCUGCUCUUCAUCUUCAGACUUUUUGCAUUUUAGAUUUUUACCUUUCUACAUUUUUGGACUUUUGUACCGGAAACUUUCUUCUUCAACUCUGCGAUCAACAUGAAGAUCUCUAUCUUUGCCUGUGUUCUGCUGAUCUCUGCUGUCAUGAUCUCGGUGGACGGAGAAACUCCAGCUGAAAAGUUCAAGCGACAGCAUAUCAACAAGGACAUGGAUCCUAAACGCUGUGACGCUGUGAUAAAGGAGAGAAAAAUCCAUCAAAACAAUAGGGCUUUUUGUAAGAAGGAGAACACCUUCAUCAGUGCGAGUUAUGGCGAGGUUAAAAAGGUCUGUGAGAAGGAAGGAGAGCCAUAUCCAAAUGAUAGAAAUCUGAGAAUCAGCCUUAACUCGUUCAGAGUUGUUAAUUGCAAAUGCAAAGACAACAUGAGGCCUCCCAACUGUGGCUGCAAAGGCUCUCGUCCCAACCUGAGAAUUGUAAUCGCUUGUGAUAACAACGAUAAUCCAGUUCACUAUGAAGAAGGUCUGUACAUUACCUCCCUGAAUGAGACUAAACUGUUAAUACCUGAUGGAUCAGAGUAAUCUAUUACUAUCUGAAUCGGUAACUUGUGUCUUCUAAAAAUGUGACCGUUUAACUCUGGGUCUGUUUUUGAUGCUGUCAUGUUAACUGAUUUAUAAAGAUAAGAUGAAAAUAAAGUGACAACUGAGACUA